CCAGUUUGAUAGUCCACUCCAACUCCGCACAGCGCUCCUGAUUUCGUAGGCGAUUUCAAAAUCAGUUGGCCCUUUCCCCUAAAUCCAAUUCCUUAUCGGUGAGCGACGAGCAUGAACGGUGUGCUGAAUCUGAAGUCCCCACUCCGCAAGCCCGCAAGUACGCAAAGGCGUCUGCAACUGCCAACUUCCAACUGGUACGAUUGUGAUAUGUGAAUUUGUGAUAUCAUUAUCAUUUCAAUUUCAAUUUUCAUACGUUAAAUUGGGGCAUGUUUAUUGUUUAUGUUUAAUUAUUGUUUUUUUUUUAGUAGUUUGUUAUGCGCUCUCUCUCUCUCUGCCUAAUUAGGUAUUAAUUUUUAGGGUUUUGAUUUUUGAAUUGCUUCAGCUUAGGCUUACAGCUUAUUUGGGGAUUUUGUUGGAAUUGGUUUUAUUGUGAUGUUUUCAGUUGAGCGGUUUAGAGAUUUGCGGUAUUUUUAAAUUUUAUCUGUAAAUAAUCUCGUGACUUUCGUCCUUUUGAGUUUUGAUUUAAGUUUUUAUGAAUUUGUUUUAUUGUGAUUUAAGUUUGUAUGAAGUGUUUAUGGCUUUCAAUAAAUGGUGGAAACUGGAAAGUAAAUAAGUAAUGCCGUAGUGGGAGAAACGGGUUUGAUAACGAAAUUUGGGGCUUUUAAUAAAUGGUGGGAAGUUGGAAAGUUUUUAUGAUGGUUAAUAAAUGGUUGAAUUGUUGAAUUUUUAAUCAACUCUAAUUGAAAAUUAAAUUGGGGCAUUUUGUAGAUUAUGGAACGAUUUUUUUAACCGAAACGAAAGUCUAUACCUAGUUCUCCUAGUUCGAGUUGUGCUUCUAGUCCCGCUGCCGCUACUAGUUGAUCACUCGAGUUGUUAAAUAACACAAAGAAGUCUCGGGCCACCGACCAGACUGGGCUUUUACGAUCAUUGAUUGUCAACGGACGAUGAUCAACGGUCAAAUUCAACCUUCGCCCUAACUGAAGGUUGAUGCUGGAUUCGCCCCUAAGGGUAGGUUUUACUUUUAUUCUCUUAUAUUUUACUUCCGUUAUUAAUAAAUCAAGACACCUAGAGUGUUUAUUAUUGUUAACAAAGAAAACUAACUUUAAAAAAUAUUUUAGACAAAAUAGAAAAUAAGUUAAGACUUACUUUUUAAGCAUAGUACAUGUUCUUAAAUUGUUAUUCACAAAGUGGUGAAAGGAAUUAUAAAGAUGCCAACAUAUUUUGGAGAUGAUUUGUAUAAAUCUCCACAUCAUUUUUGCAUCGAUAGCAUGAAUUUUCUCUUUUCAAAGUAUCAAUCAAUAAAACCUUCCAUAAGAUAGACCAUCAAGAAAAUGUGGUGGCCGAUCUUACUGUGUGACACACAAAAGAAGAGAAGAAGAGUUGUUUAAAGAGGCAUGAGCUCCACAUUCCGUUGUCGUCAACUUUUUUCGGAUCAAUCAUUCAACCAACUCUAUGUGUUGUGCUUGAAAACUCAUACAUAAGCUGCUUAAAAACGUAGUAAUCACUCACCCAUCUAUAUCUAGAAAGUUAUUGGAUGUUUGAAGAAUAACAAGCAUGUCUUGUCAAAACCUUUCAUUUUGUAUAUCGAGGGAACUAACUCAACGACCAAUAAGCUCAAACAAAUAAUAUUUAUAUGCCUUGCAAUUAAACAACUAGAGAGAGAGAGAGAGAGAUGAGAAGGACAUAAGAAAUGGCUUAUCUUCUAAUUGCAACUAUUAUCGCUGGUAGAAUUGGCUAAAUCACAGCUGCUAAAUAUGCUUAUGUCCAAACGUCAAGUUCCGCUCUCCACUUUCGAUUAAAUGAAGAAAAGUCUAGUGAUCUACAUAGUUUUCUUGGGCUGAUAAUCUACCUUCUCUUAAGAUUAAUGAGGUAUAAGUUCAUAGCAUUUUUGUUUGAGGAUAAAAGGGGAAUUUAUAUUUUAUUUUUUAUCUGUGAAUUAUAAAGAAAAUUGACUUAAAAACAAUAAUGGAAAUAAUCGAAGAAAAAUUACAAUAUCUAUAUAUGUUAGAUAGCUAGAAUUUAAUAAGUCCAUGUUUGGUACCAAUUAAAAUCUAGAUUUUAACUUAAGUCAAAGUCAGCAAUUUAUUUCAUCAUAUAUUUUAUCGGUCCUACAACUUUUGAACUACACAUUUCAUUGAUUUCUAUCAAAAUCUACUAAAAUUCUAAUUUUAAUUCCCAUCAAGCCCAUCUUUGGUACAAAUUAAAAUUAAAAUUUUAAUCUAAAUUAAAGUCAAUAAUUAAUUUAAUUACAU
This 2252-nucleotide long non-coding RNA is filed under the name Olea europaea subsp. europaea. Lineage: Eukaryota; Viridiplantae; Streptophyta; Magnoliopsida; Lamiales; Oleaceae. The record is from RNAcentral.